Molecule: ribosomal RNA, 253 nt
Filed under: uncultured bacterium
Lineage: Bacteria
Also listed under: 1 other name
Description: partial 16S ribosomal RNA
Rfam family: Bacterial small subunit ribosomal RNA
Source: RNAcentral
UACGUAGGGUGCGAGCGUUAAUCGGAAUUACUGGGCGUAAAGCGUGCGCAGGCGGUUUUGUAAGACAGAUGUGAAAUCCCCGGGCUCAACCUGGGAACUGCAUUUGUGACUGCAAGGCUAGAGUACGGCAGAGGGGGGUAGAAUUCCACGUGUAGCAGUGAAAUGCGUAGAUAUGUGGAGGAAUACCGAUGGCGAAGGCAGCCCCCUGGGUCGAUACUGACGCUCAUGCACGAAAGCGUGGGGAGCAAACAGG